This 497-nucleotide ribosomal RNA is filed under the name uncultured bacterium. Its description in RNAcentral is "partial 16S ribosomal RNA". It matches the Rfam family "Bacterial small subunit ribosomal RNA", at positions 28 to 507 of the family's 1533-position model. The record is from RNAcentral.
GAUGAACGCUGGCGGCGUGCCUAAUACAUGCAAGUCGAGCGAACAGACGAGGAGCUUGCUCCUCUGACGUUAGCGGCGGACGGGUGAGUAACACGUGGAUAACCUACCUAUAAGACUGGGAUAACUUCGGGAAACCGGAGCUAAUACCGGAUAAUAUAUUGAACCGCAUGGUUCAAUAGUGAAAGACGGUUUUGCUGUCACUUAUAGAUGGAUCCGCGCCGCAUUAGCUAGUUGGUAAGGUAACGGCUUACCAAGGCAACGAUGCGUAGCCGACCUGAGAGGGUGAUCGGCCGCACUGGAACUGAGACACGGUCCAGACUCCUACGGGAGGCAGCAGUAGGGAAUCUUCCGCAAUGGGCGAAAGCCUGACGGAGCAACGCCGCGUGAGUGAUGAAGGUCUUCGGAUCGUAAAACUCUGUUAUUAGGGAAGAACAAAUGUGUAAAUAACUAUGCACGUCUUGACGGUACCUAAUCAGAAAGCCACGGCUAACUACGUG